Molecule: ribosomal RNA, 189 nt
Filed under: uncultured bacterium
Lineage: Bacteria
Description: partial 16S ribosomal RNA
Rfam family: Bacterial small subunit ribosomal RNA
Source: RNAcentral
CCUACGGGAGGCAGCAGUGAGGAAUAUUGGACAAUGGAGGCAACUCUGAUCCAGCCAUGCCGCGUGCAGGAAGACUGCCCUAUGGGUUGUAAACUGCUUUUAUACAGGAAGAAACACUCCCUCGUGAGGGAGCUUGACGGUACUGUAAGAAUAAGGAUCGGCUAACUCCGUGCCAGCAGCCGCGGUAAU